UACGAAGGGGGCUAGCGUUGCUAGGAAUUACUGGGCGUAAAGGGCGCGUAGGCGGCACUGUUAGUCAGGCGUGAAAUUCCUGGGCUCAACCUGGGGACUGCGCUUGAUACGGCAGAGCUUGAGGAUGGAAGAGGGUCGCGGAAUUCCCAGUGUAGAGGUGAAAUUCGUAGAUAUCAAGCGGAACACCGGUGGCGAAGGCGGCCUUCUGGACAGUGACUGACGCUGAGACGCGAAAGCGUGGGGAGCAAACAGG
RNAcentral lists this ribosomal RNA (253 nucleotides) under uncultured bacterium. RNAcentral's name for it is "partial 16S ribosomal RNA". It matches the Rfam family "Bacterial small subunit ribosomal RNA", at positions 524 to 776 of the family's 1533-position model. The record is from RNAcentral.